AUAGAGCCUAGUUACUGUCAAUUGAAUCAAAUGGUACACUUUAGAGAUGAUUGGUUGCAUGAAAACCUAUUUCCUGGAGUACAGAUAUUUCUUAAAAUUGAUAAUCUUAGGACCGAAAAGUAAACUUCUUAAACAAAACAUAUUCUCCUAUCGGCAAACUUGUUUUUUUUGCUUAGAUAGUACCUUCUUUUGCAAAGUGCUUUGUCAAUUAGUCUGCUAAAUUAUCUUUAAGCGUGAUAUCUGGACACGUUUUGAAAUUGGAAUCUGUUCUGGGUUUCAAGUUGAUGAACUAGAUAAAAAUGCAGACUCAUCGGGAACAUUGGCUGGUUUCCAUAGAAAUUUCAUCUAUGUUUCCCCUUUCAAUUGUCUGCCUGAUUGAUGAAUGUCUAUGACUUUUUUCUUGUUUCUCUUGCAGUGAUGGGAAUUCUGGAUCAAAGAGUUUCAAAUGUUGUGGAGGGAUAAUGGCAUCUGAAGCGGUUUCUCUUCUGCACGAUUUUUAUGAACAAGGAAACUAUAAUGCUCCAAAGCCUCACAGGCCACGAGUUACUCAGGCUUCUCAUUUGAUCUCUGUGCAUUGAUUCUUCCUGUUGAAUUCUCUCGUGCCUCCGCACAACUAGAGGCAAUUGGCGGCCAGAGGACUCUUCAAGCUCAAUCGUGGAUGCCGCCCUCGCUUUAAACAAGAGCUUACCUGAACAGUGGAUACCGCCUGCUAGAGGACUCCUCAAGCUCAAUACCAACUGCUCGUGGACGGACAGAGCCUCGGAAGCUUCGAUUGCUGGAAUUGUUCGGGAUUCAAGCAGUAUGUUGGUGGCUGGCUUAGCGAAAGGCGUGCGAGCUUCCUCGGUUCUGUUCGCGGAAGCCCUGGCAGUGAAUGAGUCAAUUCUGUACCUGUGCUCUGUAGUAGCCACCGACUGCUUAUCACUAGUGGAGCUUAUCGCGGGUAAUGGUGAAGCCCAUGAGCCAUGCAAGAAAUCAUUGAGGAAUGCCGGUUUUUGCUGGCCCCACUUGGUUAAGGUGAAGGUUGCUCAUCGCCCCCGCAAGGCUAAUCAAAUUGCUGAUUGGAUUGUUAAGGCCCGUAGGAACAAGACUGUCCCUUCGAAUUGGUCGUCUUUACCCCCAUAACUCCUUUGGAAUAUUUUGUGUUCAGAAACCAACUUGUCUAGCUCUAGUAGAGCUUGUUUCAUGAAUGAGUAAUGAAUGAAAGU
This is a long non-coding RNA of Syzygium oleosum, 1205 nucleotides long. RefSeq lists it as uncharacterized. The record is from RefSeq and is a predicted model, not a curated record. The transcript is spliced from 3 exons. Lineage: Eukaryota; Viridiplantae; Streptophyta; Magnoliopsida; Myrtales; Myrtaceae.